RNAcentral lists this ribosomal RNA (253 nucleotides) under uncultured bacterium. RNAcentral describes it as "partial 16S ribosomal RNA". It matches the Rfam family "Bacterial small subunit ribosomal RNA", at positions 524 to 776 of the family's 1533-position model. The record is from RNAcentral.
UACGGGGGGGGUAAGCGUUGUUCGGAAUUACUGGGCGUAAAGGGCUCGUAGGCGGCCAACUAAGUCAGACGUGAAAUCCCUCAGCUUAACUGGGGAACUGCGUCUGAUACUGGAUGGCUUGGAUUCGGGAGAGGAAUGCGGAAUUCCAGGUGUAGCGGUGAAAUGCGUAGAUAUCUGGAGGAACACCGGUGGCGAAGGCGGCGAUCUGGCCCAACAUUGACACUGAGACCCGAAAGUGCGGGGAUCAAACAGG